Molecule: ribosomal RNA, 429 nt
Filed under: Chloroflexota bacterium
Lineage: Bacteria; Bacillati; Chloroflexota
Description: Chloroflexi bacterium partial 16S ribosomal RNA
Rfam family: Bacterial small subunit ribosomal RNA
Source: RNAcentral
UGGGGAAUAUUGCACAAUGGGCGCAAGCCUGAUGCAGCCAUGCCGCGUGUAUGAAGAAGGCCUUCGGGUUGUAAAGCACUUUCAGCGGGGAGGAAGGCGAUAAGGUUAAUAACCUCAUCGAUUGACGUUACCCGCAGAAGAAGCACCGGCUAACUCCGUGCCAGCAGCCGCGGUAAUACGGAGGGUGCAAGCGUUAAUCGGAAUUACUGGGCGUAAAGCGCACGCAGGCGGUCUGUCAAGUCGGAUGUGAAAUCCCCGGGCUCAACCUGGGAACUGCAUCUGAUACUGGCAAGCUUGAGUCUCGUAGAGGGGGGUAGAAUUCCAGGUGUAGCGGUGAAAUGCGUAGAGAUCUGGAGGAAUACCGGUGGCGAAGGCGGCCCCCUGGACGAAGACUGACGCUCAGGUGCGAAAGCGUGGGGAGCAAACAGG